GAGCAACAAUGUAGGGUUUUCAAUUAGGAUUUGCCGCCGACACAAGGCUAGGGUUUUAGAGAGAAACAAGAGGGGUUGUCUCUUGGUAUAACUCUAGGGUUGGGCAAAAGGGGAUUGAUUACACCUUGGGAAACACUUAUCAAAUUGAGUCUCUUGGCCACGGGAAGAGAUUCGGGUUUUGGGUAGAAUUAGGAUUAAUUCUUGUAACCCAAUUGGGAAUUUCUUUGUAGCGUUACUCUUUGAUAUAGUGGAACGGAGGGGCUGCUCUCUCCCCCAGACUAGGUCAUUAUUGGACUGAACUGGGUAAACAAAUAUUGUGUUCUUUCUUCUCCUUUAUCUUGUUUAUUGGUUAUUAUUAUUGUUUAUUCCACUUAAUUAUUGGUUGCCGUUCUAUUGCUCCACACAUCAAGUUCUUUUAUUGGUGUGAUUUUAAG
Molecule: long non-coding RNA, 434 nt
Filed under: Trifolium pratense (red clover)
Lineage: Eukaryota; Viridiplantae; Streptophyta; Magnoliopsida; Fabales; Fabaceae
Description: long non-coding RNA (TPRA_LNC002399)
Source: RNAcentral